RNAcentral lists this ribosomal RNA (253 nucleotides) under uncultured bacterium. RNAcentral's name for it is "partial 16S ribosomal RNA". It matches the Rfam family "Bacterial small subunit ribosomal RNA", at positions 524 to 776 of the family's 1533-position model. The record is from RNAcentral.
UACGGAGGGGGCUAGCGUUAAUCGGAAUUACUGGGCGUAAAGCGUGCGUAGACGGUUAUUUAAGUCGGGUGUGAAAGCCCCGGGCUCAACCUGGGAAUUGCAUUCGAGACUGAAUAGCUAGGGUGCGGAAGAGGGAAGCGGAAUUUCCGGUGUAGCGGUGAAAUGCGUAGAUAUCGGAAGGAACACCAGUGGCGAAAGCGGCUUCCUGGUCCAGCACCGACGUUCAGGCACGAAAGCGUGGGGAGCAAACAGG